UGAUCAAGCUUAUGGCAUAGAUUAGUGGA
This 29-nucleotide non-coding RNA is filed under the name Mus musculus (house mouse). Lineage: Eukaryota; Metazoa; Chordata; Mammalia; Rodentia; Muridae. The record is from RNAcentral.